This 258-nucleotide ribosomal RNA is filed under the name uncultured bacterium. RNAcentral describes it as "partial 16S ribosomal RNA". It matches the Rfam family "Bacterial small subunit ribosomal RNA", at positions 524 to 776 of the family's 1533-position model. The record is from RNAcentral.
UACGUAGGUGGCAAGCGUUGUCCGGAAUUAUUGGGCGUAAAGCGCGCGCAGGCGGUCCUUUUAAGUCUGAUGUGAAAAGCCCCACGGCUCAACCGUGGAGGGUCAUUGGAAACUGGGGGGACUUGAGUGCAGGAGAGAAGAGUGGAAUUCCACGUGUAGCGGUGAAAUGCGUAGAGAUGUGGAGGAACACCAGUGGCGAAGGCGACUCUUUGGCCUGUAACUGACGCUGAGGCGCGAAAGCGUGGGGGAGCAAACAGG